GGGGAACCUGAUCCUGCCAUGCCGCGUGAGUGAAGAAGGCCUUCGGGUUGUAAAGCUCUUUCGGCUGGGAAGAAAUCGCACAGGCUAAUACUCUGUGUGGAUGACGGUACCAGCAUAAGAAGCACCGGCUAACUACGUGCCAGCAGCCGCGGUAAUACGUAGGGUGCGAGCGUUAAUCGGAAUUACUGGGCGUAAAGCGUGCGCAGGCGGUUGUGCAAGACAGAUGUGAAAUCCCCGGGCUCAACCUGGGAACUGCAUUUGUGACUGCACGACUAGAGUACGGCAGAGGGGGGUAGAAUUCCACGUGUAGCAGUGAAAUGCGUAGAGAUGUGGAGGAAUACCGAUGGCGAAGGCAGCCCCCUGGGCCGAUACUGACGCUCAUGCACGAAAGCGUGGGGAGCAAACAGGAUUAGAUACCCUGGUAGUCCACGCCCUAAACGAUGUCAACUAGUUGUUGGUAGGGUUAAACCUAUUAGUAACGUAGCUAACGCGUGAAGUUGACCGCCUGGGGAGUACGGUCGCAAGGUUAAAACUCAAAGGAAUUGACGGGGACCCGCACAAGCGGUGGAUGAUGUGGAUUAAUUCGAUGCAACGCGAAAAACCUUACCUACCCUUGACAUGUCAGGAAUCCCGAAGAGAUUUG
RNAcentral lists this ribosomal RNA (643 nucleotides) under uncultured bacterium. RNAcentral describes it as "bacterial SSU rRNA". It matches the Rfam family "Bacterial small subunit ribosomal RNA", at positions 374 to 1010 of the family's 1533-position model. The record is from RNAcentral.